AAGCUCCUUCGGGGCGGGGUGACGAAGUCCCCACCGGCGGUAGAGCCCGCGAGCCGCAGCGUGCGGCGUCCGGAGCGAUCCGGCACGCUUUGAAUCAGCCGCACGCCGCUGCAGACCCGGUGCGAUUCCGGGGCCGACCGUGACAGUCGGGAUGGAAGAAGGAGGGA
This 167-nucleotide non-coding RNA is filed under the name Candidatus Eiseniibacteriota. RNAcentral's name for it is "Candidatus Eisenbacteria FMN sequence". It matches the Rfam family "FMN riboswitch aptamer (RFN element)". From Rfam's summary of the family: The RFN element is a highly conserved domain that is found frequently in the 5'-untranslated regions of prokaryotic mRNAs that encode for flavin mononucleotide (FMN) biosynthesis and transport proteins. The record is from RNAcentral.